UACAGAGGUCCCAAGCGUUGUUCGGAUUUACUGGGCGUAAAGGGUGCGUAGGCGGCAGGGAAAGUUCGGGGUGAAAUCUCCAGGCUCAACUUGGAAACUGCCCUGAAUACUUCCUUGCUCGAGGGCCGAAGAGGAGAUUGGAAUUCUCGGUGUAGCAGUGAAAUGCGUAGAUAUCGAGAGGAACAUCAGUGGCGAAAGCGAAUCUCUGGUCGGCAUCUGACGCUGAGGCACGAAAGCCAGGGGAGCAAACGGG
Molecule: ribosomal RNA, 253 nt
Filed under: uncultured bacterium
Lineage: Bacteria
Description: partial 16S ribosomal RNA
Rfam family: Bacterial small subunit ribosomal RNA
Source: RNAcentral